Long non-coding RNA from Perca fluviatilis (European perch), 1364 nucleotides. RefSeq lists it as uncharacterized. The transcript has 3 exons. The record is from RefSeq and is a predicted model, not a curated record. Lineage: Eukaryota; Metazoa; Chordata; Actinopteri; Perciformes; Percidae.
ACACUCCUCUAUCUGCUGCAGACUGCACCAACCAUACACAGAAGAAUCUUUUUGUUGGAUACAAUUUCUUUGCUGAGCAGAAACGAAAUCCACACAGCCAACUUAAAAUGUAGAUUCUUUUAUGGGUUUCUGAGAUUUUAAUCGGUAGCUGUGUCUCUAGUGUACAUCUGUAAUAUAUGAGAAGAGAAACGGGACAUCCGCUUUCGAGGCUUAUCAAACAUUUAGUGUCCAGUCUCCCCAGGAUAAUGGCCUCUCGUGUCCUCUGACUGACUGGGUAAUGACGCGUGAGCCUCAUGCAGCAGCAAUGACAGUACAGGGCGGUCAGACGAGCACGGGCACUAUGAGCCACAUCCAAACAGAAAUGGUGAGAAAUAUGCAUCUGUACUACUGUGGGUUUAAACAUUUACUGCUUGCCAUGAAGCAGUUUUUGUUCAACAGCCUUCUUUUGAGCUAUCGAUACAUAUUCGCAAGUAGGGCUGGGUAUCGUUCACAUUAUUUUGAUACCGGUACGGAUACCAAUACUGUGACUUCGAUACCGGUUCUUAAACGAUUUUCAAUACCAAUUUUAUAACACAAAAAUAAACGACCUAAUUAUACAUUAGGGCACAAAUCUUUUUAUUUAUUUCCAGCUCCUGCUACGUGAACCUUGUGUCGUAACGUAGAGUUUUUCCUGCGUGUCUUUACCACGUGGAACGUUAGACAGCCAAUCACCAGCAUUAUUAGAUAUUGGUAGAAGCAUGAUGCAUGCUGAUUGGCUCACUGACGCUGAUGAGGAUUACUCGAUACUUUAGGGGGAAUUCAGUUGGUGCCUAAAAAAGUAUUGAAUUCGGUACCCAGCCCUAUUCAUAAGAUACUGUAUGUCGUUUGUGUGUUAGAACUGUUUCAAUUUGCUGUUAAGUAGACACAUCAAAUAAAGACCCAUAGAGUUCUCUCUUUCAUCUUUGCCCACAUUUAAUCGAAGCGUCAAAUAUUUCCUCCUGGAUUAUAAAUGUGUGUGUGCCACUGCCAGGAUUAGAGAAUAAUUAAUUUAGUGAGUGGCAAACAGUGAAUUACAACUUCCAGUUUGCAGGAAGGAGAUUGUUAUUACUGCUUAGGUUAAUCAAUGCAAUGCUUGUCUUAUUAAGUGUUCGUUUUGACAUUUCUUUAGAAAAAGAUUAUUAUCCGGCAGCCAUGGCUGACUGAUUCUCUAUCCCCAUGCAGAUUUUGAGCUGAUGUAGCAACUUCAAGACUGAAGAUAAAACGCACCAGGUUUGGCAGCUGCUCCCGUCUGUCGGCAUCCCUGUGCUGCCGCUGCUCUCUCUCCUGUUCCUGCUGCAGCCUCUGCUCCCUCUCCUUCAGCACCUUGUCUCUCUGGAGCUGCAGGG